Non-coding RNA from Candidatus Blackburnbacteria bacterium, 84 nucleotides. The record is from Rfam. NCBI's taxonomy places the organism in Bacteria, Candidatus Blackburniibacteriota.
GCCGGGGUGGUGGAACGGCAGACACGCACGCCUCAAGAGCGUGUAAUCGCAUAGAUUGUGAGAGUUCGAAUCUCUCCCCCGGCA